CCAUCCUCAUCCUGCUCCAUCCUUAUCCUGCCCCACCUUCAUCCUGCUCCAUCUUCAUCCCUCCCCUCUUUGCCACAAAAAUCCUCAUUCCCACCUCCUUGUCUCCCUGAGUGCUGCUCAGACAACCCCACAGGGAAAGCUGUUUACCCAGAUAACCACCAUCCCUCUCCCUGCUGAAGCAGCAGCUGUUGUGGGAGACAGCUGAAAUGCAAACAGGCUCCUGCUCCAUCCAUCACCCAGGCACGGGCCAGGCACAGCUACUUCACUUUAAAGGACAACGUUUGCAUCAAGAGGAGCUGGGCCACAAAUCAAAUCCCACUGGAAGGCAGGAGAAGGUUUGAACUGGAGCAGAGGUUUCCUGGGAUGAUCUUCUUGUGGGAUGAGGGGACAGGAGCUGACACAGAGGUCUCUGAGCAGCCAGAGCUCUUCCUAACGAUCUGUGCUGGAUGGAAAACACCCCAAAGAGCUU
RNAcentral lists this long non-coding RNA (469 nucleotides) under Zonotrichia albicollis (white-throated sparrow). Its description in RNAcentral is "lncRNA (ENSZALG00000009711.1)". Lineage: Eukaryota; Metazoa; Chordata; Aves; Passeriformes; Passerellidae. The record is from RNAcentral.